GUGCGAGUAACGUUAUUUAGCCGCUCCACGUCAUCGCUUUUAUUUUUCCGCUGAAUUUUGGCUUCUGGUUUGAAAACGGUGACGAAGACGACGCCGAACCUCAAGAAGUCCCGAGGUUCUUUGCGUCACCGCAUUCCGCAUUUUGUGACAAAGAGAGAGGCCGACGCGCGUCAACCGAACGACUGCGUUUUUUGUCGAGCGUGAAUCCAUUGUGUGCAUUGGUUGCUUUCCGAGCUUAGCGGAAAACCCUGCACGCGAAGCCAACCUCGCGGAGCUCACGAAACUCACCGACGACUUCUCCCGAGGAUCUUUUGACAGACAGUUGAAUUGGAAGCACAGCUUUGCAAGCGCACAAGGGCGCCCUGUCUACCCGCAGUGCUAAAUUAUCGGGCAGCACCACAAAAGAAUGCCGGCCAAAGAGCAAAUGUCACCCGCGGAACCACGUGACCAUCAACCCACGAGCCAAUCGCAACAGGAACGCUGCAAGGAAAGACCACUCGACGUGAAGAGAAAACCGUACCACGCGAAUGUUUUGCUCUUGCUAAAUUUAUGGCUUUAAUUCGAUAGAACCUUGUUUGUUCACGACAAUCAAAACGAGUUCGUCUGUCACUGCAACUGACAGUAAUUGUGCUCUGAUACGCGUGUGGAAGGGGGAACUGGCACAUUUAUAAAACGGCACAAGAAAAAAAGAAAAUUUCGAUUUAGUCAUCUUGAAUUCAAUAAUUAUCUUGAUUGCUGUAAUUUUCUUGAACGAAGUGAUUGCAAAACGGAAGUGAUCUCAUGAAAUAUGAAUGCUUGCUUUAAGUGAACAAAUUUUAUUCCGCAAAAAGCCGCUGUGUUGCUUUAUACCUAUUGAUUCGUCCGAGGCAACGAAAAACGUGCUCAUUCUCCAUGCGUGCGUUUUAAUCAAUAUUUUAUUGUAAAGGAAUAUCGAAUACAUGCACUUAACUGACAAAAUUAAAACUGUCAUUGUACUAAAAUUCCACCGCAUGAAUUGAAAUGUCAGUCGAAAAAGCAAAUGACAAAAUACAUGUUCGGUGCAUGCAAAAAAAAAUUCAAGGUCAAGGUUGAUCAUGGCUUGCGUGUAAAAGUUUUUAUUUAUUUAGAUGUUUUAUACUGUGCAACAGUAACAAUACAAUAAGUUGUCCAUACAAUCGAGCGAAUCAACAGAAAAACGGAAAACACAGGUGACAUGACGUCAUGAGCGUGAAAUGUCGCAGAACCGGAAAAUGUUUUCCAUUAAAAAAAAAAACA
Hippocampus comes (tiger tail seahorse) is the source of this 1254-nucleotide long non-coding RNA. RefSeq lists it as uncharacterized. The transcript is spliced from 3 exons. NCBI's taxonomy places the organism in Eukaryota, Metazoa, Chordata, Actinopteri, Syngnathiformes, Syngnathidae. The record is from RefSeq and is a predicted model, not a curated record.